RNAcentral lists this ribosomal RNA (492 nucleotides) under uncultured bacterium. RNAcentral's name for it is "partial 16S ribosomal RNA". It matches the Rfam family "Bacterial small subunit ribosomal RNA", at positions 29 to 507 of the family's 1533-position model. The record is from RNAcentral.
AGUGAACGCUGGCGGUAUGCCUAACACAUGCAAGUCGAACGGCAGCACAGUAAGAGCUUGCUCUUACGGGUGGCGAGUGGCGGACGGGUGAGGAAUACAUCGGAAUCUACUUUUUCGUGGGGGAUAACGUAGGGAAACUGACGCUAAUACCGCAUACUACCUACGGGUGAAAGCAGGGGAUCUUCGGACCUUUCGCGAUUGAUUGAGCCGAUGUCGGAUUAGCUAGUUGGCGGGGUAAAGGCCCACCAAGGCGACGAUCCGUAGCUGGUCUGAGAGGAUGAUCAGCCACACUGGAACUGAGACACGGUCCAGACUCCUACGGGAGGCAGCAGCGGGGAAUAUUGGACAAUGGGCGCAAGCCUGAUCCAGCCAUACCGCGUGGGUGAAGAAGGCCUUCGGGUUGUAAAGCCCUUUUGUUGGGAAAGAAAAGCAGCAGGUUAAUACCCCGCUGUUCUGACGGUACCCAAAGAAUAAGCACCGGCUAACUUCGUG